AUCCUAGUGCACGGGUUUUACACGUAUCAGUGAGGAGACAUCCGAGAUCGUGUUUUUGCUAGUUGAAAACUACCAAAUUGACUACUUCAAGUGAGCCUAAUCGCACGCUUGGGAAUUUUUGAAACCACACUG
Molecule: small nuclear RNA, 132 nt
Filed under: Penicillium solitum
Lineage: Eukaryota; Fungi; Ascomycota; Eurotiomycetes; Eurotiales; Aspergillaceae
Description: U4 spliceosomal RNA
Rfam family: U4 spliceosomal RNA
About the family: U4 small nuclear RNA (U4 snRNA) is a component of the major U2-dependent spliceosome.
Source: Rfam by way of RNAcentral